AGUGCGUUGGGUUAAACCUUGAAACAUUGGAAAAACUUCCAAAAGUCUCUUGCAUUAAGCACUUUUUACAGCUGUGCUGUAUUAACUGAAAACUUCGUUUCCAUGAUGGGACAGUCGCGUAACAUGCUCCUGGUCGGUGAGCUGCCCGGUGACUUCCUGCGAAGUGGACACCACGCCUGCCCUCCGGCACGCCUAGCAGAUCUCGGUUGACGAGCAGACUGCCAUCGCACUUCAGCAGCAGCUGUCAGGAGCGGCGUUCACCACUGCCCAGGCUUGUUGGACGACUCAGCAUCUCUGUCAUACAGGCAAAGCUGGUGAAGAACUAUGGCGUCACCGGAUGGACCUUACGUGCGGAUUCGCA
Long non-coding RNA from Dermacentor silvarum, 361 nucleotides. RefSeq lists it as uncharacterized. The record is from RefSeq and is a predicted model, not a curated record. The transcript is spliced from 3 exons. Lineage: Eukaryota; Metazoa; Arthropoda; Arachnida; Ixodida; Ixodidae.